This is a long non-coding RNA of Diabrotica virgifera virgifera (western corn rootworm), 761 nucleotides long. RefSeq lists it as uncharacterized. The record is from RefSeq and is a predicted model, not a curated record. Lineage: Eukaryota; Metazoa; Arthropoda; Insecta; Coleoptera; Chrysomelidae. The transcript has 3 exons.
UAAUCGUUUAUUUCUACUGAUUCAUACGCUGUCAAAAUUAAAUCAAUAUGGCUACUGGGUGUAAAAGAUAAAUCUUAUUCUAUCUGUUCUUAAUGAGUUUUAGAUAAUUUUAGUUGUAUUUCUUUGUAAUUUUGUGUUGUACAAAGAUUAAUUUAACAUUUUCUCUGGAAGUAUUAAUUUAGAAAGAUAAUAUGCUUCAUUGGUGUUGUGUUUUGAAGUGUGAAAUGCAAAGUAAUUGUGAUAAAGUCAAGAUAAAGUUCACUUUUAAACUGAACUAAAUAAGGUAUCUGAGAGACAACAAUGGUUAAAUGCAAUACAAUGUACAGGUUUUACUAGCGAAAUGAAAAUUUUCCUGUCCUGUCUGCUGUAAUCAUUUUAUAUCUGGAAAACCAGCCGACUUAAUCGAUAAUAACAAUCUCCAGAUUGGGUUCCUUCAAUAAAUAUGGGCUAUUAACACAAUGAAAUAAGUUCCAGAAAAUCUAAAAUGGAGUGGUAUCAAAGGAGAAUUAAAGGAAAAAAUAUUCAUAUUGAAAUUAUUUAUAAGGCACUGGACUGUCUUAAAUUCUACAAUAAUACUAGAAUCAGCUGAGAGAAGUGGUCUACAAAAAACCAGGAAGGAAACGGAAUAUGUGGCUACGAAAGGCAAAAGAAAGGUUUACAAAGCAAAUGUGACACAUUUUUUUGAAAUAUUUAGGAAUAUCAGUAAAUUGCAUUAAAAAAAUGUAUGAAAAGAUUUUGUUCAAUAAAAAUGUUUAUAUUUA